Molecule: long non-coding RNA, 1597 nt
Organism: Nematostella vectensis (starlet sea anemone)
Lineage: Eukaryota; Metazoa; Cnidaria; Anthozoa; Actiniaria; Edwardsiidae
Exons: 2
Source: RefSeq, a predicted model, not a curated record
GGAGAUGUAGCCCGUAUUAUACCCUGGUCCCAGAGCCUCAAGCGUCUCUCUAUUCAGUGGCCAGCGAGGUUGUUGAGACGAGGCUCUGGCCUCUCGAAGCCGCUAUUUCGACUUCUGCCUCACUUCCAUGUUAACGUUUUGUGAUUAGAAUGUGUCAGUUUAGUCCAGACCUGGGACUCUCUUUGCGCUCGACAUUCUGGACUAGUGUCAGUUUCACGUGGUGCUACCUUGAAUGUAAACAUCUCUUCGCAAGGGAUUCGAAUUCUCGAGUAUGAAAAGCGCAUGAACACCCGAUUUAAAAACGACAACAUUCAUCUGAAAACCCAUGGGAUCAUUACUGUAGAGUUAGUGACAAGAAUAUGACCAUAGGAUGUGGGAAAUACAACAUUUUCUCGGGAAAUGGCUUCAAGGAGGAGAAAAUCGCGACAAGCUCGCAGUUAUCCUCGGAACGAGUCUAUCAAAGAACUCAAGAGGCAAAUAACCAGAACAAUCGCUUGCUUGGGAUAGUUGAUUCCAAUAUCGUUGAGGCGAGAGCAAACGCCGGGAAUAAGCUCGGAAAAUCAGCGAUGUCCCGUAGCCGGUCGGCAGCACAGAGAAGACAUCUCGCCGCUUGAUUAACUCGUAAAGAGACUCCUCUUGAACAAACUUUACAUUUUUAAUACUGGUAAAUCUUGUAACUAAUUCGAAAUUAGCACUAUUAAAAUAACGAUCAAAAUAAUCUAUCGCCCGUCUACUUCGUUCGUUUAGAUGUUUGUUAUUGCGAACAAUAAGAAUUAAAAACCGGUUUUGACCUUUUGAACUUGAAGCGAAAAUACAAUAGAAAACUGUCAGAAUUUCUUGGUUUCCAUAACCACACAUUAAUUGGCCAAUCAGCGACCAAGUUCAGAUUCUGAACCUAGCAGAAGUCGAAAUUGCGCUUCAAGAGGCCAGAGCCUCGUCUCAACCUCGCUGGCCACUAAAUAGAGAGACGCACGAGGCUUUGGAACCAAGGUACCCGUAUUACUGCAUCAACCAAACUUGUUUCGCAGCAAAGUGACGUCAGGCAUACUCAAGCAGUUGCAUUAGCGUUUGUGACAUCAGUGUCACGGGGAAAAAUGAUGGUGGUCAAAAGCAAGAACCAGCUUAUCCUUUGCUGCGACAAAAGUUGGUUCGCCGGUAGUAAAACGCGCAACAUCGCCUUCGAACUUUUUUUUGCAAAUGCUGCCACAAAAAUUGUCAGAAUAUCACGCUCGAGUUUCAUGCCUCUGGCCUUCCCGCUGCACAAAUUUGAUGAGGUUUAUAUUUCCGCUGGAUUUGUGGAUCUGUCAUGGGGUAUUUGGAGGAAUUCCCACGGAUAAUUAGAGCACUCGUGAAGUCGGUAGGACACUUCCUGUUGGGAUUUGGCCCCAAUGGUUGUCGCAACCUGCGCUUUAAUGUGAGAUGCCCUUGAUUGAAAAAAAAUAAAUUAAAAAUUUUUUUGCCGUAGCAUGGUCGACAUGAGUGCGGGAUUCCUUGAAAUUUUCAUUUGCCUUUAGCCUUCAUUUUACUAUGUUUUUUUUCUUUUUUUUUCUGGUCACGGCAUUCGCACACUUUUUAAUAAACUUCCAUUUUUUUAUGA